GUGGGGAAUAUUGGACAAUGGGCGCAAGCCUGAUCCAGCCAUGCCGCGUGAGUGAUGAAGGCCCUAGGGUUGUAAAGCUCUUUCACCGGUGAAGAUAAUGACGGUAACCGGAGAAGAAGCCCCGGCUAACUUCGUGCCAGCAGCCGCGGUAAUACGAAGGGGGCUAGCGUUGUUCGGAAUUACUGGGCGUAAAGCGCACGUAGGCGGGGAUUUAAGUCAGGGGUGAAAUCCCGGAGCUCAACUCCGGAACUGCCUUUGAUACUGGGUACCUAGGGUAUGGAAGAGGUAAGUGGAAUUCCGAGUGUAGAGGUGAAAUUCGUAGAUAGUCGGAGGAACACCAGUGGCGAAGGCGGCUUACUGGUCCAUUACUGACGCUGAGGUGCGAAAGCGUGGGGAGCAAACAGGAUUAGAAACCCCGGUAGUCC
This 425-nucleotide ribosomal RNA is filed under the name uncultured bacterium. RNAcentral describes it as "partial 16S ribosomal RNA". It matches the Rfam family "Bacterial small subunit ribosomal RNA", at positions 354 to 796 of the family's 1533-position model. The record is from RNAcentral.